Molecule: ribosomal RNA, 381 nt
Filed under: uncultured Acidovorax sp.
Lineage: Bacteria; Pseudomonadati; Pseudomonadota; Betaproteobacteria; Burkholderiales; Comamonadaceae
Description: bacterial SSU rRNA
Rfam family: Bacterial small subunit ribosomal RNA
Source: RNAcentral
UUAGAGAUAGAGGAGUGCUCGAAGAGAGCCGUAACACAGGUGCUGCAUGGCUGUCGUCAGCUCGUGUCGUGAGAUGUUGGGUUAAGUCCCGCAACGAGCGCAACCCUUGUCAUUAGUUGCUACAUUCAGUUGGGCACUCUAAUGAGACUGCCGGUGACAAACCGGAGGAAGUGGGGAUGACGUCAAGUCCUCAUGGCCCUUAUAGGUGGGGCUACACACGUCAUACAAUGGGAUGGUACAAAGGGUCGCCAACCCGCGAGGGGGAGCCAAUCCCAUAAAGCCAUUCGUAGUCCGGAUCGCAGUCUGCAACUCGACUGCGUGAAGUCGGAAUCGCUAGUAAUCGUGGAUCAGAAUGUCACGGUGAAUACGUUCCCGGGUCUU